Molecule: ribosomal RNA, 479 nt
Filed under: Pseudaegerita viridis
Lineage: Eukaryota; Fungi; Ascomycota; Leotiomycetes; Helotiales; Hyaloscyphaceae
Description: eukaryotic LSU rRNA
Rfam family: 5.8S ribosomal RNA (bases 130-283)
Source: RNAcentral
CCCUGUGUAUUUUAUACCUUUUGUUGCUUUGGCGGGCCGCCUUCGGCCACCGGCUCCGGCUGGUGCGUGCCCGCCAGAGGACCCCAAACUCUGAAUGUUAGUGUCGUCUGAGUACUAUAUAAUAGUUAAAACUUUCAACAACGGAUCUCUUGGUUCUGGCAUCGAUGAAGAACGCAGCGAAAUGCGAUAAGUAAUGUGAAUUGCAGAAUUCAGUGAAUCAUCGAAUCUUUGAACGCACAUUGCGCCCUCUGGUAUUCCGGAGGGCAUGCCUGUUCGAGCGUCAUUACAACCCUCAAGCUCUGCUUGGCCUUGGGCACCACCGGUAACGGUGGGCCUCAAACCCAGUGGCGGUGCCGUCUGGCUCUAAGCGUAGUAAUUAUUCUCGCUAUAGAUGCCUGGUGGAUACUUGCCAGUAACCCCCAACUUCUUAAGGUUGACCUCGGAUCAGGUAGGGAUACCCGCUGAACUUAAGCAUAUCA